AGUGAACGCUGGCGGUAGGCCUAACACAUGCAAGUCGAACGGCAGCACAGUAAGAGCUUGCUCUUACGGGUGGCGAGUGGCGGACGGGUGAGGAAUACAUCGGAAUCUACUUUUUCGUGGGGGAUAACGUAGGGAAACUUACGCUAAUACCGCAUACGACCUACGGGUGAAAGCAGCGGAUCUUCGGACCUUGCGCGAUUGAAUGAGCCGAUGUCGGAUUAGCUAGUUGGCGGGGUAAAGGCCCACCAAGGCGACGAUCCGUAGCUGGUAUGAGAGGAUGAUCAGCUACAAUGGAACUGGAACACGGUCCAGACUCCUAAGGGAGGCAGCAGUGGGGAAUAUUUGACAAUGGGGGGAAGCCUGAUCCAGCCAUACCGCGUGGGUUGAGAAGGCUCUCGGGUUGUAAAGCCCUUUUGUUGGGAAAGAAAAGCAGCAGGUUAAUACCCCGCUGUUCUGACGGUACCCAAAGAAUAAGCACCGGCUAACUUCGUG
Molecule: ribosomal RNA, 492 nt
Filed under: uncultured bacterium
Lineage: Bacteria
Description: partial 16S ribosomal RNA
Rfam family: Bacterial small subunit ribosomal RNA
Source: RNAcentral